Oncorhynchus tshawytscha (Chinook salmon) is the source of this 1812-nucleotide long non-coding RNA. Lineage: Eukaryota; Metazoa; Chordata; Actinopteri; Salmoniformes; Salmonidae. The record is from Ensembl.
CGAAGAUGGACCUAGAGGCCCAGGACAUUGUGACGAACCAUCUCAAUGCUACAGACCUCUGAAACAGAAGAUAGAGAGUAGGAGAGAGAGAGUAGGAGAGAGAGAGUAGGAGAGAGAGAAGAAGAUGAAGAAGGAGUGAAGGAGAAAGGAGUGAGAGAUGGAGAGAGAGAAAGAAAUAGAACAUAAGAGGGUAGGGAAGAGAAGAGACUGAAGAGAGAAAAUCACUGAGAUGGGAGAAAGGAAGGCUAGAGAGAAUAAUUGCAUCUGUGAAUGAACACAUAAGAUGAGGGUGAGCGAGAGACAGAGAUAGAGAGAUUAAACCACUGCUUCCGGAACACAUAAAUAAAGAGAAAAUGUCAGAGAUGGGAUGAAGCAAAAAAAACAACAAAGAUGACAGAGAGAAAAAAAACAAUGGAAAAGGAGUUUAAAUUCUAACCAGUUUAGUUUGUUCCUAAGUGGGGAACAGCAAUGGGCUGGGACUGGCUGGCUGACUGGGACUGGCUGGGACUGGCUGGGACUGGCUGACUGGCUGGCUGGCUGACUGGCUGGGACUGGCUGGGACUGGCUGGGACUGGCUGGCUGACUGGGACUGGCUGGGACUGGCUGGGACUGGCUGACUGGCUGGCUGACUGGAUGGCUGGCUGGGACUGGCUGGCUGGCUGGGAAUGGCUGGGACUGGCUGGGACUGGCUGGGACUGGCUGACUGGCUGGCUGGCUGGGACUGGCUGGGACUGGGCUGACUGGCUGGCUGGCUGGGACUGGCUGGCUGACUGGCUGGCUGGCUGGGACUGGCUGGCUGUCUGGGACUGGCUGGGACUGGCUGACUGGCUGGCUGACUGGCUGGCUGGCUGGGACUGGCUGGCUGGCUGGGACUGGCUGGCUGGGACUGGCUGGCUGGCUGGCUGUGCACAGGUGAUGAUGACCUAAAUUUAGUCCCAAAUGCCAGAAUGUUUUUGGGUCGCAGCUUUAGAGUUGUUUGAAAAGUUUGUUGUGUCCCAAAUGGCACCUUAUUCUCUAUCAGGUCCCUGGUCAAGAGUAGUGCACUAUAUAGAGGAAUGGGGUGCCGUUUGCCUGUGUGUGUCUCCGUGUGUGUGUGUGUGUCUCUGUGUGUGUAUCCAUGUGUCUGUGUGUGUGUGUCUCCGUGUGUGUAUCCAUGUGUCUGUGUGUGUGUGUGUGUGUGUGUGUGUGUGUGUGUGUGUGUGUGUGUGUGUGUGUGUGUGUGUGUGUGUGUGUGUGUGUGUGUGUGUGUGUGUGUGUAUCCAUGUGUCUGUGUGUGUGUGUCUCCAUGUGUGUGUGUCUCCGUGUGCGUGUGUGUGUGUGUGUGCGUGUGUGUGUGUGUGUGUGUAUCCAUGUGUGUGUGUGUGUGUGUGUGUGUGUGUGUGUGUGUGUGUGUGUGUGUGUGUGUGUGUGUGUGUGUGUGUGUGUGUGUGUGUGUGUGUGUGUGUGUGUGUGUGUGUUUCGGCUGUCCCUCGAUGUCUUGGCAUUUCUAUAAGUCAAUGGGUGAGAUGGUGAAAAUGUGAAAGGUGAAGUGAUGAGUCACAACGAUAGAGAGUUCAGGAAAAAGAAUGUGAGACACUGGUGACAUUAGGAAAGCAUGACAAACCAUAGCAUGUUGGGGAAACUGUGGCGUGACAUGGGCGCCAUUUUGAGCCAAGAUGGAUGAAAUGGUGGCAAAUCAUGAUGUAACGUUGAUGGGACCGACUGAAAUCCUUUAUAAUGCAUGAAUACAUAAUGGAUACAUAAUGGAUACAUAAUGGAUACAUAAUGGAUACAUAAUGGAUACAUAAUGGAUACAUAAUGGAUACAUAAUGG